This 2906-nucleotide ribosomal RNA is filed under the name Escherichia coli ECC-Z. RNAcentral's name for it is "bacterial LSU rRNA". It matches the Rfam family "Bacterial large subunit ribosomal RNA". Lineage: Bacteria; Pseudomonadati; Pseudomonadota; Gammaproteobacteria; Enterobacterales; Enterobacteriaceae. The record is from RNAcentral.
GGUUAAGCGACUAAGCGUACACGGUGGAUGCCCUGGCAGUCAGAGGCGAUGAAGGACGUGCUAAUCUGCGAUAAGCGUCGGUAAGGUGAUAUGAACCGUUAUAACCGGCGAUUUCCGAAUGGGGAAACCCAGUGUGUUUCGACACACUAUCAUUAACUGAAUCCAUAGGUUAAUGAGGCGAACCGGGGGAACUGAAACAUCUAAGUACCCCGAGGAAAAGAAAUCAACCGAGAUUCCCCCAGUAGCGGCGAGCGAACGGGGAGCAGCCCAGAGCCUGAAUCAGUGUGUGUGUUAGUGGAAGCGUCUGGAAAGGCGCGCGAUACAGGGUGACAGCCCCGUACACAAAAAUGCACAUGCUGUGAGCUCGAUGAGUAGGGCGGGACACGUGGUAUCCUGUCUGAAUAUGGGGGGACCAUCCUCCAAGGCUAAAUACUCCUGACUGACCGAUAGUGAACCAGUACCGUGAGGGAAAGGCGAAAAGAACCCCGGCGAGGGGAGUGAAAAAGAACCUGAAACCGUGUACGUACAAGCAGUGGGAGCACGCUUAGGCGUGUGACUGCGUACCUUUUGUAUAAUGGGUCAGCGACUUAUAUUCUGUAGCAAGGUUAACCGAAUAGGGGAGCCGAAGGGAAACCGAGUCUUAACUGGGCGUUAAGUUGCAGGGUAUAGACCCGAAACCCGGUGAUCUAGCCAUGGGCAGGUUGAAGGUUGGGUAACACUAACUGGAGGACCGAACCGACUAAUGUUGAAAAAUUAGCGGAUGACUUGUGGCUGGGGGUGAAAGGCCAAUCAAACCGGGAGAUAGCUGGUUCUCCCCGAAAGCUAUUUAGGUAGCGCCUCGUGAAUUCAUCUCCGGGGGUAGAGCACUGUUUCGGCAAGGGGGUCAUCCCGACUUACCAACCCGAUGCAAACUGCGAAUACCGGAGAAUGUUAUCACGGGAGACACACGGCGGGUGCUAACGUCCGUCGUGAAGAGGGAAACAACCCAGACCGCCAGCUAAGGUCCCAAAGUCAUGGUUAAGUGGGAAACGAUGUGGGAAGGCCCAGACAGCCAGGAUGUUGGCUUAGAAGCAGCCAUCAUUUAAAGAAAGCGUAAUAGCUCACUGGUCGAGUCGGCCUGCGCGGAAGAUGUAACGGGGCUAAACCAUGCACCGAAGCUGCGGCAGCGACGCUGAUGCGUUGUUGGGUAGGGGAGCGUUCUGUAAGCCUGCGAAGGUGUGCUGUGAGGCAUGCUGGAGGUAUCAGAAGUGCGAAUGCUGACAUAAGUAACGAUAAAGCGGGUGAAAAGCCCGCUCGCCGGAAGACCAAGGGUUCCUGUCCAACGUUAAUCGGGGCAGGGUGAGUCGACCCCUAAGGCGAGGCCGAAAGGCGUAGUCGAUGGGAAACAGGUUAAUAUUCCUGUACUUGGUGUUACUGCGAAGGGGGGACGGAGAAGGCUAUGUUGGCCGGGCGACGGUUGUCCCGGUUUAAGCGUGUAGGCUGGUUUUCCAGGCAAAUCCGGAAAAUCAAGGCUGAGGCGUGAUGACGAGGCACUACGGUGCUGAAGCAACAAAUGCCCUGCUUCCAGGAAAAGCCUCUAAGCAUCAGGUAACAUCAAAUCGUACCCCAAACCGACACAGGUGGUCAGGUAGAGAAUACCAAGGCGCUUGAGAGAACUCGGGUGAAGGAACUAGGCAAAAUGGUGCCGUAACUUCGGGAGAAGGCACGCUGAUAUGUAGGUGAGGUCCCUCGCGGAUGGAGCUGAAAUCAGUCGAAGAUACCAGCUGGCUGCAACUGUUUAUUAAAAACACAGCACUGUGCAAACACGAAAGUGGACGUAUACGGUGUGACGCCUGCCCGGUGCCGGAAGGUUAAUUGAUGGGGUUAGCGCAAGCGAAGCUCUUGAUCGAAGCCCCGGUAAACGGCGGCCGUAACUAUAACGGUCCUAAGGUAGCGAAAUUCCUUGUCGGGUAAGUUCCGACCUGCACGAAUGGCGUAAUGAUGGCCAGGCUGUCUCCACCCGAGACUCAGUGAAAUUGAACUCGCUGUGAAGAUGCAGUGUACCCGCGGCAAGACGGAAAGACCCCGUGAACCUUUACUAUAGCUUGACACUGAACAUUGAGCCUUGAUGUGUAGGAUAGGUGGGAGGCUUAGAAGUGUGGACGCCAGUCUGCAUGGAGCCGACCUUGAAAUACCACCCUUUAAUGUUUGAUGUUCUAACGUUGACCCGUAAUCCGGGUUGCGGACAGUGUCUGGUGGGUAGUUUGACUGGGGCGGUCUCCUCCUAAAGAGUAACGGAGGAGCACGAAGGUUGGCUAAUCCUGGUCGGACAUCAGGAGGUUAGUGCAAUGGCAUAAGCCAGCUUGACUGCGAGCGUGACGGCGCGAGCAGGUGCGAAAGCAGGUCAUAGUGAUCCGGUGGUUCUGAAUGGAAGGGCCAUCGCUCAACGGAUAAAAGGUACUCCGGGGAUAACAGGCUGAUACCGCCCAAGAGUUCAUAUCGACGGCGGUGUUUGGCACCUCGAUGUCGGCUCAUCACAUCCUGGGGCUGAAGUAGGUCCCAAGGGUAUGGCUGUUCGCCAUUUAAAGUGGUACGCGAGCUGGGUUUAGAACGUCGUGAGACAGUUCGGUCCCUAUCUGCCGUGGGCGCUGGAGAACUGAGGGGGGCUGCUCCUAGUACGAGAGGACCGGAGUGGACGCAUCACUGGUGUUCGGGUUGUCAUGCCAAUGGCACUGCCCGGUAGCUAAAUGCGGAAGAGAUAAGUGCUGAAAGCAUCUAAGCACGAAACUUGCCCCGAGAUGAGUUCUCCCUGACUCCUUGAGAGUCCUGAAGGAACGUUGAAGACGACGACGUUGAUAGGCCGGGUGUGUAAGCGCAGCGAUGCGUUGAGCUAACCGGUACUAAUGAACCGUGAGGCUUAACCUUAC